CGUUGAUCUUCUUCUGCGGAGGCAGAGUUCAGCCACACUAUUACGUAAUAAAGUGGCACAUUUCACAACCUUUUGGCAGAGGUUUCAAUAUAA
Long non-coding RNA from Sinocyclocheilus rhinocerous, 93 nucleotides. RefSeq lists it as uncharacterized. Lineage: Eukaryota; Metazoa; Chordata; Actinopteri; Cypriniformes; Cyprinidae. The transcript has 3 exons. The record is from RefSeq and is a predicted model, not a curated record.